RNAcentral lists this ribosomal RNA (253 nucleotides) under uncultured bacterium. RNAcentral describes it as "partial 16S ribosomal RNA". It matches the Rfam family "Bacterial small subunit ribosomal RNA", at positions 524 to 776 of the family's 1533-position model. The record is from RNAcentral.
UACAGAGGUCCCAAGCGUUGUUCGGAUUCACUGGGCGUAAAGGGUGCGUAGGUGGUCGAGUAAGUCUGAUGUGAAAUCUUCGAGCUCAACCCGAAAAUGGCAUUGGAUACUAUUCGGCUGGAGGGUUGGAAGGGGGACUGGAAUUCUCGGUGUAUCAGUGAAAUGCGUAGAUAUCGAGAGGAACACCGGUGGCGAAGGCGAGUCCCUGGACAAUCCCUGACACUGAGGCACGAAAGCUAGGGGAGCAAACGGG